Molecule: transfer RNA, 74 nt
Filed under: Syntrophobotulus glycolicus DSM 8271
Lineage: Bacteria; Bacillati; Bacillota; Clostridia; Eubacteriales; Desulfitobacteriaceae
Description: tRNA-Trp (CCA) (tRNA-Trp-CCA-1-1)
Rfam family: tRNA
About the family: Transfer RNA (tRNA) molecules are approximately 80 nucleotides in length. Their secondary structure includes four short double-helical elements and three loops (D, anti-codon, and T loops).
Source: RNAcentral
AGGGGAUUAGUUUAAUGGUAGAACAGCGGUCUCCAAAACCGUCAGUGCGGGUUCAACUCCUGCAUCCCCUGCCA